RNAcentral lists this non-coding RNA (24 nucleotides) under Cricetulus griseus (Chinese hamster). The record is from RNAcentral. Lineage: Eukaryota; Metazoa; Chordata; Mammalia; Rodentia; Cricetidae.
AGACUGAGAGGUAUGAUAGCGCAG